UGCAAGUCGAACGGAAAGGCCUCUUCGGAGGUACUCGAGUGGCGAACGGGUGAGUAACACGUGGGCAAUCUGCCCUGCACUUCGGGAUAAGCCUGGGAAACUGGGUCUAAUACCGGAUAGGACCUUUAGACGCAUGUCUUUUGGUGGAAAGCUUUUGCGGUGUGGGAUGGGCCCGCGGCCUAUCAGCUUGUUGGUGGGGUGAUGGCCUACCAAGGCGACGACGGGUAGCCGGCCUGAGAGGGUGUCC
This 247-nucleotide ribosomal RNA is filed under the name Mycobacterium avium complex sp. RNAcentral describes it as "partial 16S ribosomal RNA". It matches the Rfam family "Bacterial small subunit ribosomal RNA", at positions 56 to 305 of the family's 1533-position model. Lineage: Bacteria; Bacillati; Actinomycetota; Actinomycetes; Mycobacteriales; Mycobacteriaceae. The record is from RNAcentral.